Molecule: long non-coding RNA, 1041 nt
Organism: Lingula anatina
Lineage: Eukaryota; Metazoa; Brachiopoda; Lingulata; Lingulida; Lingulidae
Source: RefSeq, a predicted model, not a curated record
GGCUAUACGCGGAGCCGUUUGUCCUAAAGAGGGCGCUGGGGUAAUAGUGGUUAUUGAAGAUAGCCUCGUUUUCGCGUCCGUGUAGAAAUGGCUUUAGAGUAUGGGAAGCAAACGGUAGCGAAGUUAAAACUUCAACUAGUUGAAAGAGGAGCCUCCACAAGAGGAAAGAAACAGGAUUUGAUAGAAAGGUCACAGAGAAGGAAGUGUCAGAACUUGAAAACAGAACUAGAGGCCAAAGUUAAAGUCGAGUGUGGCAUGAAGAAAGAUCAUGGAGAAUAACAGCAUCGAGGUUUGGUGAUAUUUUGAACGCAACCAAAAGACGAGACAAGGACAAAUUAUGCCAGUCACUCCUGUUUACCCAUGAAAUCAAUACUCCAUAUUUCUUAUAAUUUACAGACAUAUAGUCGUCAACAAUGUCACAUUCUGGCCAAAUGUUCAUUUCACUGAGCUGGAAAAACAUAAAGUUGCUUAUUAUUUCUGACACCGUUGUUACCGAUAGCUUGAAACGGAGAGCUAAAUAAUAAUUGUCAAAGGCUUGUCUCCAUUUAAUAAUGGUAAAAAAACAUUGGUCCUCUGGUGACAAACAUUUGAAAUUCAAGUGGUGAGCUGCUGGCCCAAGGCAAUUGAAAAACAACAUGAAGUGUCCAAAAUGACUAAAUCCAGUUAGAUACUGGGCAGCCUUUGCAUUUUUCUGGUACAGCAUGAUGCUUUCUCUUGUGUCUGAUGGUGUAGUGAUAUCACACUGGGAAGCUGUACUUUCUUUUUGGCUCUCACCAGGGCAGUCUUCAUGUUUGUCUUCCACUGCUUCAUCUGCUUGAGACUCAACCUAUAGGAUACAACAAAAAAUAAAUACAGAAGUUGAUAACUUACACAAAGAAAAAUACUUCAUGUAUUAAUUAACACAUAAAAUCAGUGUAGAUGACAGAAAUGACGCAGAUCUGACUGCCUCUUUAGUGCGUCUCUAGUAUUUCUAGUAUUUACACAGAUAAUUAUACAAAUAAAAAGAAACAUUUUAUUUAUAAAUUUGUUAUUAUACCAUGC